RNAcentral lists this ribosomal RNA (429 nucleotides) under Bacteroidota bacterium. Its description in RNAcentral is "Bacteroidetes bacterium partial 16S ribosomal RNA". It matches the Rfam family "Bacterial small subunit ribosomal RNA", at positions 355 to 776 of the family's 1533-position model. The record is from RNAcentral. Lineage: Bacteria; Pseudomonadati; Bacteroidota.
UAGGGAAUCUUCCGCAAUGGGCGAAAGCCUGACGGAGCAACGCCGCGUGAGUGAUGAAGGUCUUCGGAUCGUAAAACUCUGUUAUUAGGGAAGAACAAAUGUGUAAGUAACUAUGCACGUCUUGACGGUACCUAAUCAGAAAGCCACGGCUAACUACGUGCCAGCAGCCGCGGUAAUACGUAGGUGGCAAGCGUUAUCCGGAAUUAUUGGGCGUAAAGCGCGCGUAGGCGGUUUUUUAAGUCUGAUGUGAAAGCCCACGGCUCAACCGUGGAGGGUCAUUGGAAACUGGAAAACUUGAGUGCAGAAGAGGAAAGUGGAAUUCCAUGUGUAACGGUGAAAUGCGCAGAGAUAUGGAGGAACACCAGUGGCGAAGGCGACUUUCUGGACUGUAACUGACGCUGAUGUGCGAAAGCGUGGGAAUCAAACAGG